UCACAAAGAAACCAAGGGGAUGAGCAUGUGAGCAAGCAAACACAGGCUGUCAGUAAACACAGGAGACAUGAUGAACAAGCUGUGCAGAGAGAAUGGAUGAAAUCAAGAUCUCUUUACAUGCUUCCUGGCAGCUCUGUGACCUAAUGGCUGGGAUGCGAUGAAGGAAAAGGGAGAGAUCUCAGAGCAGAGCUGAAUCAACUGUGAGAAGAAGAGAACAGACUCAGUCUACUGAAUGAUGCCAAUUCAGGUAUUUCUGCCUCCGGAGCUGCAGAGCCUGGAUCUAUGAUUGCGGGCCACCUGCUGGCCCCUUGCUUGACGACCGCUGCUACAAUUAUUAUUAGUCUUAUUCCUAUUAUUAUCAUUAUUAUUCCUAUCACUAUCAUUCCUAUUAUUAUUAUUUUAUUAAUAUGCCACUACCAUUAUUUUUAAAAUUCUCUGUCU
Long non-coding RNA from Siniperca chuatsi (mandarin fish), 441 nucleotides. RefSeq lists it as uncharacterized. The record is from RefSeq and is a predicted model, not a curated record. The transcript has 3 exons. NCBI's taxonomy places the organism in Eukaryota, Metazoa, Chordata, Actinopteri, Centrarchiformes, Sinipercidae.